UUUCUCAGAUUGAACGCUGGCGGCAGGCCUAACACAUGCAAGUCGAGCGGUAGCACAGAGAGCUUGCUCUCGGGUGACGAGCGGCGGACGGGUGAGUAAUGUCUGGGAAACUGCCUGAUGGAGGGGGAUAACUACUGGAAACGGUAGCUAAUACCGCAUAACGUCGCAAGACCAAAGUGGGGGACCUUCGGGCCUCAUGCCAUCAGAUGUGCCCAGAUGGGAUUAGCUGGUAGGUGGGGUAACGGCUCACCUAGGCGACGAUCCCUAGCUGGUCUGAGAGGAUGACCAGCCACACUGGAACUGAGACACGG
RNAcentral lists this ribosomal RNA (311 nucleotides) under Klebsiella sp. NACASA 1. RNAcentral's name for it is "bacterial SSU rRNA". It matches the Rfam family "Bacterial small subunit ribosomal RNA", at positions 20 to 329 of the family's 1533-position model. Lineage: Bacteria; Pseudomonadati; Pseudomonadota; Gammaproteobacteria; Enterobacterales; Enterobacteriaceae. The record is from RNAcentral.